RNAcentral lists this ribosomal RNA (253 nucleotides) under uncultured bacterium. RNAcentral describes it as "partial 16S ribosomal RNA". It matches the Rfam family "Bacterial small subunit ribosomal RNA", at positions 524 to 776 of the family's 1533-position model. The record is from RNAcentral.
GACAGAGGGUGCAAACGUUGUUCGGAAUUACUGGGCAUAAAGCGCACGUAGGUGGUCCGCUAAGUCGCGUGUGAAAUCCCCCGGCUCAACCGGGGAAAUGCGCGUGAUACUGGCGGGCUUGAGAUCGGGAGGGGUGAAUGGAACUCCAGGUGGAGCGGUGAAAUGCGUAGAUAUCGAGAGGAACACCUGCGGCGAAGGCGGGUUGCUGGGCUGACACUGACGCUGAUGCGCGAAAGCGUGGGGAGCAAACAGG